RNAcentral lists this ribosomal RNA (448 nucleotides) under uncultured bacterium. RNAcentral's name for it is "bacterial SSU rRNA". It matches the Rfam family "Bacterial small subunit ribosomal RNA", at positions 335 to 795 of the family's 1533-position model. The record is from RNAcentral.
ACUCCUACGGGAGGCAGCAGUGGGGAAUAUUGCACAAUGGGCGGAAGCCUGAUGCAGCAACGCCGCGUGCGGGAUGACGGCCUUCGGGUUGUAAACCGCUUUCAGCAGGGACGAAGCGUGAGUGACGGUACCUGCAGAAGAAGCACCGGCUAACUACGUGCCAGCAGCCGCGGUGAUACGUAGGGUGCGAGCGUUGUCCGGAUUUAUUGGGCGUAAAGAGCUUGUAGGCGGUUGGUUGCGUCGAAAGUGCAAACUCAGGGCUUAACUCUGAGCCUGCUUUCGAUACGGGCUGACUGGAGGAAGGUAGGGGAGAAUGGAACUCCCGGUGUAGUGGUGGAAUGCGUAGAUAUCGGGAGGAACACCUGUGGUGAAAGCGGCAUUCUGGCCCUCACCUGACGCUGAGGUGCGAAAGCGUGGGUAGCAAACAGGAUUAGAUACCCUGGUAGUC